CAGCCUCAGUGUUAUAUGAUUACCCGCUGAACUUGAGCAUAUCGUUAAGCGGAGGAAAAGAAACUAAAUAGGAUUUCCUUAGUAACGGCGAGUGAAA
RNAcentral lists this ribosomal RNA (97 nucleotides) under Alloionema appendiculatum. RNAcentral's name for it is "partial 28S ribosomal RNA". It matches the Rfam family "Eukaryotic large subunit ribosomal RNA", at positions 1 to 98 of the family's 3401-position model. The record is from RNAcentral. Lineage: Eukaryota; Metazoa; Nematoda; Chromadorea; Rhabditida; Alloionematidae.